Molecule: long non-coding RNA, 499 nt
Organism: Myiozetetes cayanensis
Lineage: Eukaryota; Metazoa; Chordata; Aves; Passeriformes; Tyrannidae
Exons: 3
Source: RefSeq, a predicted model, not a curated record
UUGGGGAGGGUUUAAAAGGAUUCGCGGAGGAUUCGGCGCCGAUUUUGGGGCAAUUUCAGGCGAUUUUGGGGGUCGUUUUCGCCUCACCCGCCGCUCUUUUUGUCCCCUCACGGCUCCCGUAGCGCCUCAAAAUGGCGGCUCCUCCCUCCCCUCACAACUCCGUACAAAAUGGCGGCGCCCACAGCAUCACGUGACCCUCCCAAAAUGGCGCCCUCCAUGUGUAUUCCCACUCGAUAAACCGGGGGCUGUGUGACGUCACUUCCGGACUCUCCCAAGAUGGCGGCGCGCAGGAUCCUCUGGCUCGCCGAGCGUCGCGCGCGCGGGACACGCCCCUUGCCCCGCCCCCCGCAGCGGCUCGGCCAAUGGAGAGAGGAGCAGGGCCUCCCCCCGAGCCCUUCGGGGCCGGGACCCCUUCGGGACCUCCCGGAUUGGAGCUUCAGUGGUGAGGAAUUUUGGGGCAAAAUCGGGGGAUUUUGGGAAAUUUGGGGAAAUUUUGGGG